GACGAACGCUGGCGGCGUGCCUAAUACAUGCAAGUCGAGCGCCGAAGGAUGGUACUUGUGCCCACUGGAUGAGCAGCGAACGGGUGAGUAACGCGUGGGGAAUCUGCCUUUGAGCGGGGGACAACAACUGGAAACGAAUGCUAAUACCGCAUAAAAACUUCAAACACAAGAUUUAAGGUUGAAAGAUGCAAUUGCCUCACUCAAAAGUGAUCCCGCGGUGUAUUAGCUAGUUGGUGAGGGAAAGGCCCACCAAGGGGAAGAUACAUAGCCGGCCUGGAAGGGAGAUCCGCCCAAAUUGGAAUGAGACACGGCCCAAGCCCCCACGGGAGGGAGCCGUAGGGAAACUUCGGCAAUUGACGAAAGUCUGACCGAGGAACGCCGGGGUAGGGAAGAAGGGUUUCGGGUCGGUAAACUCCUUUUGUUGAGAAGGACGUUGGUGAGAGUGGAACGCUCCUGAAGUGACGGUAACUAAACAGAAAGCGACGGCUAACUACGUG
Molecule: ribosomal RNA, 497 nt
Filed under: uncultured bacterium
Lineage: Bacteria
Description: partial 16S ribosomal RNA
Rfam family: Bacterial small subunit ribosomal RNA
Source: RNAcentral